RNAcentral lists this ribosomal RNA (558 nucleotides) under Triticum aestivum (bread wheat). RNAcentral describes it as "partial small subunit ribosomal RNA". The record is from RNAcentral. Lineage: Eukaryota; Viridiplantae; Streptophyta; Magnoliopsida; Poales; Poaceae.
AUGGCUGAGGAUAGUGUGUGUGAGAUAUGCGGGAGAGGGAAUGAGGAGCACCACUCCGUUAUCGCAUGUACCAGAAGUUUAGUCCUGCGGCAGGAAAUGAGACCCUAUUGGCAGCUGCCAAAGGAAUCUGCUCUCACAUACACAGGAGAGGACUGGUUACAGCUGUUGCUACUAUCUUAGGGAGAAGAAACUAGGACCAAGCUAAUGCUAAUUCUGUGGCAGGCCUGGAGCCUUAGAAACAAUGUGAUUCACGGUGAUGGGAAAGAUACGGUGUCAGGUGCGGUGCAAGCCUUACUGCGGAUACAUGAUGAGAUACAAAUGGUAGUGGAGAAUCCCUGGAGCGAAGAAGACAAAUGCAGAAGGGGUCUAUUCCCAACCAAACCAUGUGUGCCGACCACCUCUGGAACUAUGGUAUGGAGAGGCCCCACCCCAGGCAAUGUUAAGUUAAACACGGACGCGGUUUUCCUUGCGGACUCGGGUGAAGCAUGGGGCGGGGCAGUUGCCAGAUACCAUAAGGGCCACGUUUUCCUUUCGGUGGGAAGGAAGUUACCUUACUGA